Molecule: ribosomal RNA, 453 nt
Filed under: uncultured bacterium
Lineage: Bacteria
Description: bacterial SSU rRNA
Rfam family: Bacterial small subunit ribosomal RNA
Source: RNAcentral
GACGAACGCUGGCGGCGUGCCUAACACAUGCAAGUCGAACGGAACUGUUUUGAAAGAUUUCUUCGGAAUGAAUUUGAUUUAGUUUAGUGGCGGACGGGUGAGUAACGCGUGAGUAACCUGCCUUCAAGAGGGGGAUAACAUUCUGAAAAGAAUGCUAAUACCGCAUGACAUAUCGGAAUCACAUGGUUCUGAUAUCAAAGAUUUUAUCGCUUGAAGAUGGACUCGCGUCCGAUUAGUUAGUUGGUGAGGUAACGGCUCACCAAGACCGCGAUCGGUAGCCGGACUGAGAGGUUGAACGGCCACAUUGGGACUGAGACACGGCCCAGACUCCUACGGGAGGCAGCAGUGGGGGAUAUUGCGCAAUGGGGGCAACCCUGACGCAGCAACGCCGCGUGAAGGAUGAAGGUUUUCGGAUUGUAAACUUCUUUUAUUAAGGACGAAAAAUGACGGUAC